Molecule: small nuclear RNA, 127 nt
Filed under: Stegodyphus mimosarum
Lineage: Eukaryota; Metazoa; Arthropoda; Arachnida; Araneae; Eresidae
Description: U2 spliceosomal RNA
Rfam family: U2 spliceosomal RNA
About the family: U2 is a small nuclear RNA (snRNA) component of the spliceosome (involved in pre-mRNA splicing). Complementary binding between U2 snRNA (in an area lying towards the 5' end but 3' to hairpin I) and the branchpoint sequence (BPS) of the intron results the bulging out of an unpaired adenosine, on the BPS, which initiates a nucleophilic attack at the intronic 5' splice site, thus starting the first of two transesterification reactions that mediate splicing.
Source: Rfam by way of RNAcentral
AUCUCAUCGGCCUUUUGGCUAAGAUCAAAGUGUAGUAUCUGUUCUUAUCAGCUUAAUACAAUACAUAAAAUCAUAGAAACUGCUGGAAAUGUGUGAACAAAACGAGCAAGACUGACUGAAAGCCUAA